UCCAAUCCACCAAGGUCCUCGUAACAGU
This 28-nucleotide small RNA is filed under the name Bombyx mori (domestic silkworm). RNAcentral describes it as "piRNA piR-bmo-1494933". The record is from RNAcentral. Lineage: Eukaryota; Metazoa; Arthropoda; Insecta; Lepidoptera; Bombycidae.